UUGCCCAUCAGGGUUGCGGAUACCUGAUUUUAUUUAU
This is a non-coding RNA of Myotis lucifugus (little brown bat), 37 nucleotides long. The record is from Rfam. Lineage: Eukaryota; Metazoa; Chordata; Mammalia; Chiroptera; Vespertilionidae.